This 377-nucleotide ribosomal RNA is filed under the name uncultured bacterium. RNAcentral's name for it is "bacterial SSU rRNA". It matches the Rfam family "Bacterial small subunit ribosomal RNA", at positions 521 to 896 of the family's 1533-position model. The record is from RNAcentral.
UAAUACGGAGGGCGCAAGCGUUGUUCGGAAUCACUGGGCGUAAAGCGCGUGUAGGCGGCUUGGCAAGUCGGGUGUGAAAGCCCGGAGCUCAACUCCGGAAUUGCAUUCGAAACUGCCUCGCUCGAGUCCCGGAGAGGGUGGUGGAAUUCCCGGUGUAGAGGUGAAAUUCGUAGAUAUCGGGAGGAACACCAGUGGCGAAGGCGGCCACCUGGACGGUGACUGACGCUGAGACGCGAAAGCGUGGGGAGCAAACAGGAUUAGAUACCCUGGUAGUCCACGCCGUAAACUUUGGGUGCUAGGCGUCGCGGGUAUUGACCCCUGCGGUGCCGCAGCUAACGCGUUAAGCACCCCGCCUGGGGAGUACGGUCGCAAGACUA